Molecule: non-coding RNA, 87 nt
Organism: Ornithorhynchus anatinus (platypus)
Lineage: Eukaryota; Metazoa; Chordata; Mammalia; Monotremata; Ornithorhynchidae
Product: microRNA mir-1421ac-2
Exons: 1
Source: RefSeq, marked provisional
CACGGCACUGUGUGAGGAGGACACAUGUGGUGCAGUAUGAUACUAGCAUAUGCUGCAUCAUGCGUGACCUCCCCACACCGUGUUGUG